RNAcentral lists this transfer RNA (73 nucleotides) under Camelus bactrianus (Bactrian camel). It matches the Rfam family "tRNA". Rfam says of the family: Transfer RNA (tRNA) molecules are approximately 80 nucleotides in length. Their secondary structure includes four short double-helical elements and three loops (D, anti-codon, and T loops). RNAcentral also lists the same sequence under 2 other names. The record is from Rfam by way of RNAcentral. Lineage: Eukaryota; Metazoa; Chordata; Mammalia; Artiodactyla; Camelidae.
GAGGGUAUACCUCAGUGGUAGAGCAGGUGCCUAGCAUGCACAAGGUCCUGGGUUGAAAUCCCCAGUACCUCCA